UGAAGGAUGAAAGAUAGAACAUGAUUUGGAUAUUUAAACAUUUGGAAAGUCUUCAGUCAGUGUCCAUUUUUCCUGUCAGACAAAGAACAGAGAAGAAAAUUCAGACCUGUCUCAGUAAACACAAGAGAUAUAUGACGCACUGCACAUUUAAAGGAGAACUUCGGUCGAUUUAAACAUGCAGCUUCAUUGCUCAAGCUACCCUUGACUUGCCAGUACCGAAGACGCAAACACAUUUGGUCAAACCAUUACAGAGCUCCAUGAACGCAGACUUAGCAUUGAACGCUAACAGCAUGGGGUCAGAACUUUACACUGUGUUUUAAGCGUCUUAACAUGCUCCACAUCUCACACCAAAAGUUAUGCAACAUCAGCAGACACCUUAGCACACAGCACUGUAGCGUGUAUGACUCAAAAUGAAUAAAAAAGUAGUAAAAACAGUGUGUUUGUGCAAGGAGCUACUUACCUGUUUGUUGACAUCCGUGUCUUCCGGUAGCUAGACCAAACUAGUCAAUCCGUCGAGCGUGCGCUUACUCCCUCACUGGCGGAGACGGAAACGCAUUCCAGCAUUUUCGUGUUUCUGUUCAUAAUGUACAUGUCCAUGUUACAGCCUGUCAUGAGCCAUGAGCCUUACAAUAGCCUGUUAAGCCUGUUAAGUGCACACUCGAUGGAUAUGCUAGUUUGGUCUAGCUACCGAAACACACGGAUGUCAACAAACAGGUAAGUAGCUCCUUGCACAAACACACUGUUUUAACUACUUUUUUAUUCAUUGUGAGUCAUAAACGCUACAGUGCUGUGUGCUAAGGUGUCUGCUGAUGUUGCAUAACUUUUGGUGUGAGAUGUGGAGCAUGUUAAGACGCUUAAAACACAGUGUAAAGUUCUGACCCCAUGCUGUUAGCGUUCAAUGCUAAAUCUGCGUUCACGGAGCUCUAUAAUGGCUGGACCAAAUGUUUUCGCGUCUUCGGUACUGGCAAGUCAAGGGUAGCUUGAUCAAUGAAGCUGCAUGUUUAAAUCGACUGAAGUUCUCCUUUAAGGAGUUGUUCACUCCUCACCAAGAUUUCUAUAUGUUUGACAAUGACUUUUUCCUUUUACAUUUACGGUUAUUAAAGCUUUAAUGAGCUUUGAUUCUGGAAUAUUUGAGUUCUUAUAGGUUGAUAUUCUUCCAGUACUCUUUACCAUGUGUUUGCCAUAGUACGUUUAUCUGUCACGGUAAAUGCUUAAUUAAAACCAAAAGUAUAUUUUGAAAGCAAAAUGCAACACACCCUCCUUGGUCACCACUUUGGGUUGGUUCAUAUUUAAGAAACUGUCCAUUAGUUCAGAUGAGCUUCGUAUAAUUUUAAUCAUUUAGCUGUUAGUAACAUUUCAAGAAAUGGCUCUAAAAAUCAGACGCAAAACAUCUUGUCAAACUCUGAUACUCAACGUGGUUUCUUCAAACAAAUGUAGAGCUUUAGUAUGAACAGCUUCAAGAAAAACCUUCUGCAUGGUUCACAGUUUAAAAGGUGUGUAGGUAUUAUGCAUGUUGUUCUUUAUUUUUCCAUCUUUACACAUACUGUGUCCAAUACUGUUUUCCAAUUAAAGAAAUGGCUACUAUCUGUAAUACCCCAUAAAAGGUGUUAAUUGUUCAUGACAGAUUUGUUCUCACCUUGAUUUGUCUGUGAUAUUGACCCCUGUUGCAUGUAUUUAAAGAAGAAGAAACACAAAGUUAUCUAGCCACUCUGAAGUAGUGUAUCCACAAUAUGGUAUGUUGUUCUCUGUUGCUAUUUUCUGCAUUAUUUAAAUAUCUGAAAAUAUCCCAUAAAAAGCUGAGAUCAAAACCACCCUUUUUGUAGCUGAAAGCAACAUGCUCAACCUUCUAGUUAAGACAUUAGCCAUCAGCCAGUAAUCAACUUUUACUGCUUUUCGUGAUUUACUUCAGAGUUGUUUUUUCAGUAGUUUUUCAUUCUCCCUCUGAUCUUUCAUUAGUGAUCAGAGAAAUGGUAUAUUCCCCAUGUCUCCCCUGCAAGAACUAAAUAAGUUUUCUACUAUGUAAGUUGUUUCGUUCUACUCAUGGAUUGACAAAGAAUGAACUGCUGUUGGGUUUGACUGAAUGUUGAUGGAUUGUGGCAUUGUGCAUCUGAAGGCAACAUGGCUAUAAUGCUUAAUAAAACUUUAUUCUUUUAGUACAAGUUAUUGUUUGGUUAUUUAUCCCUUAUCAUACUGUAACAGCAUGCUGGCAUUAAUAUUUCACAUGUUUCCUGCUCAAUUAUUGACUUGUAUUCAUUUUUAAAAGCAAUAGAAUUAGCAAAUCUGCUCUUCAUGUAGACAGGUACAAUAACAAAGGUAUGGCUUAUAAGGUUUUGCCCUCUGGAUAUGGAAAGCAAAAGGUCCAGUGAUCUUAAAGAUCAGUAAAGACAGAAGAGAUGUAAAAAGAAUAUAAAAAGGAAGAGGAAUGCAUGGAAU
Molecule: long non-coding RNA, 2433 nt
Organism: Sparus aurata (gilthead seabream)
Lineage: Eukaryota; Metazoa; Chordata; Actinopteri; Spariformes; Sparidae
Source: Ensembl